This is a long non-coding RNA of Psammomys obesus (fat sand rat), 639 nucleotides long. RefSeq lists it as uncharacterized. NCBI's taxonomy places the organism in Eukaryota, Metazoa, Chordata, Mammalia, Rodentia, Muridae. The record is from RefSeq and is a predicted model, not a curated record. The transcript is spliced from 2 exons.
UGUUACAGCAACAAUAUGAAGCUAAUACUUCGGGGGUUGGAGAUGAAUUGGAAAUUUCCCUCUCCUCUCACAAACAUGGAAAUACCUCUCACUGAACCUGGAGCUCACAGAUUCAGCAAGGCUGCUUGGGCAAUGAGCCUAGGGAUCCUCCUGCCUCCACUUUCCCAAGGCCUGGGCUCCAUUGCAUCUAUUUUUAUAUGGAUGCUGAAGAGGGAAGGUAGAUUCCCAUGCUGUGGCAGCAAGCAUUUCACCAGCAGAGCCAUCUCCCGACCUUCUUGUCUAGUUUUGAAACUAUGAAUUCAGUUCCAUGUGGGUCCAAUGACUCUAAUGUCCCCUUUCCCAAGACAUCUACAACCACCAUCACCAGCGUCUUCUUGGUGACAACACAAUCUGUAGUCCUGACUUCUUUAGGGACAGGAAGGAGGAGUGCAUUCUGAAGGCUUCCUUGACAUCCGUGGUGCUGGAUCGAUCCCCUUCUCUGCCUGCGAAGGUGUGAAGAGUUGCAGGAUUGUGGGUACCCCUCCUUGAAGGGGAAGCAGACCCCUGAGAGUCAGCCUUGUUUUGCGAAUGAAAAAGCCUAUGGUGUAUUGAACCAUCCUGUACUUCUUCAUGCUCGGUGUUCUAAAGAUAGUCCUGUGA